CAGCAGCCGCCGCGGUAAUACGUAGGUGGCAAGCGUUGUCCGGAAUUAUUGGGCGUAAAGGGCUCGCAGGCGGUUUCUUAAGUCUGAUGUGAAAGCCCCCGGCUCAACCGGGGAGGGUCAUUGGAAACUGGGAAACUUGAGUGCAGAAGAGGAGAGUGGAAUUCCACGUGUAGCGGUGAAAUGCGUAGAGAUGUGGAGGAACACCAGUGGCGAAGGCGACUCUCUGGUCUGUAACUGACGCUGAGGAGCGAAAGCGUGGGGAGCGAACAGGAUUAGAUACCCCGGUAGUCCCUGUCUCUUAUAA
RNAcentral lists this ribosomal RNA (304 nucleotides) under uncultured bacterium. RNAcentral describes it as "partial 16S ribosomal RNA". It matches the Rfam family "Bacterial small subunit ribosomal RNA", at positions 506 to 809 of the family's 1533-position model. The record is from RNAcentral.